GGAAGGAAUGCGGUGAAACCGGACUUUCUAGAAACUAAUUAUUUAUGCGAAAGAAGUAGUGAACGAAAUGCAGUGCAGGGCGAUAAACCAUAGUAAUAAUUAUAAACAUUGUAUUUUCGUUUGCAUAUCCGUGUUUUAAUAACACUGCGAGCGGAUCAGAGUUGCACAGGAAAAGUUGCAGAGGGCACCCUGGUCCAACAGAGCCGAUAAGAUGUUCGAUUAUACUAAUGAUUAAUUAUUAAUGAUUUGUGAGUAUAUUCAGGACGGAGCUGUCAGUGACACACCCCUUUAGUCAAACACAAGACACAAAAAGACACAAACAACAUGACUGUGACCGUUAUCAAAGUUAAACAAAACAACUGCAGAGAAAGGAGACGAUAGGGUACAAAUAAAGCUCAUACAUAACCCUCUAUAACUACAAAUAGUCUUAGUUAGUGAAUGCUAAAAUAAGUUUGACGAAAUAAGUUGUAAAAUCUCACAGGUUAGCGAUGCCUGCCUUCCUCACAGCGGUGGAGAUUGCUUUCACCGCGGUGCAGAUGGAGUUAAGCAGGGUGGUGAGCUCCCCGGUGCCCUGCGCCUUCCUCCCCUCCUCCAGGACGAACCGGGUCAGGGUCACCACGUUGGUGUCGAAGGCCCCCUUGUCGGACAUAUCGAUGCUGCUGCUGGUAAACCUUGGUGACUGGGAGAACUGGCCCUGGCUUUGCGUCAAGUAAGGGAGACGAAGUUCAGCGCUCACGCUAUAAUGGAACAGCGGUGCAAAGGUUGAGGAAGAGCAGGCAGGGGUGUGCGUUGAUUUGGGCCAAUCGCGGCCAGGCGUCCUCCUGGGGACAGGGAUAACUUCGGACGACGACAUUAGUAUUCUAUUGGUGGAUCUGGCUGGGUCUCAGGACAGUGAACACCGUAAGAAAUGGACCAGGUAAUUUGUAUGGACAACUCUUGUUUUAUUUUACAUUGCUCUAGUUGUUAGUAUAAGUAUCCAAUGUCUUGCACCGUAUUUACAAUUUUGACAACUUCAUGGUUUGAAACCCUCAGGAUCCCUGGUCCCCAUAUAAAAACCCUUUAUUUAUAUUUUCCCUUUUUUGCUCAUUUUUCAUUCACUGCUUGACAUACUUUGAGGUCUGUGGUUGAGAAGAAAUGCCAAGAAUAUGGCUUGGCAUUUAGAGGAAGACUUGCACUGUAAUUAUAGAGUGGGUCCAGUCUUAGCUUAAGACACAUACCAUGGGGAGGAAGUGUCAGUCCUGGAUGAUUCUAAAGUGCAGGUCCACACUAUUUGUGAACCUUUUCCUGUCCCUCCUCCACGACUGAGAGGCACUAGCUGGAGACUUCAGUCAAAACACUACAAGAGUUCAGCUGGGAGAGACAGAAUAUAACUGUUUUUGACUCACUCAGAGCAUGUCAGAGAGGAGUUUAAACUACUGAGGUACCAGGAAAUCUGGCUUUACCAAGAGUGUGCUUACCAGUCUCAGAGGAGCCUGUGGUUGCUAGCUCAACCCCAGAUACUUCAAGUGUGAUUUCCACAACGGCAUCAAAAUUAGGCGACUAAGCUUCAAAAGAAGGCCCAGAGUGGCAGCCAACCAUGUGGAACCACUGC
Gadus chalcogrammus (walleye pollock) is the source of this 1591-nucleotide long non-coding RNA. RefSeq lists it as uncharacterized. The transcript has 3 exons. NCBI's taxonomy places the organism in Eukaryota, Metazoa, Chordata, Actinopteri, Gadiformes, Gadidae. The record is from RefSeq and is a predicted model, not a curated record.